GCUCCUCUCUCUCUCGCCGCUCCCAGGGUUGGCUCUCUUCCAUUAUCUCUCUCUGUGGAAGUGAACUAACGAGAUAUUUUAUGUUUGCAUUGGAUUUUGCUUGGACUGUUCGAAGUUUUUACUGCUCUGUUUGUUUCAAUUCUGGUGGAAGUUGUCCAAGCUUUGAGGUUGAAGGCGAUCUCCUCUGUUGAUCGAAUUUGGUUAACCGUUGUUCCCAUCGGAGAUUGACAGUGGAGUUCCAUGACGAAAUCCCAUGAUUGCUGCUCGCCUCUGGGGUCCUCAAAGACCUCUCCAGGUUCGUUCAUGGAGUUCCAUGACGAAAUCCGACCCACCCGGCAAAACCCGUGUCACACUUCACUUCACUUCAUCUCUCUCACUCGCUCUCUCCUCUCUCUCAACCAAUCGCCGUUUCCGGUUACUUCGUGACUGUGAAUCGCCGAUCCCGAUCCCGAUCUGCUCUCCCCCGCUCUCUCUCUCACUCCUGUUUUGCAUUCCUUUGUCUCUGACGCACGGCCAUCGAAAUACAGAGGGGAUACAAGUGGUUUGGACAAUGAAAACUCAUGCCUUAGUUCUCAGCACACACCUGCUGCCACAGAUGCUGUUGCUCCCAAGGAUGUCCCGUUUCUGAUGUACAAUAGUCACCAAAGAAGGCUCGGAGAACCGGUUUGCAUAAACUAUUUUGAAAGCACAAAGGAAGACACUUUUUGACUAUGGUAAAGCAAAUCCUUUGAAGAUGCAGCAGGAAAAGGAAAGAUUUAAAAGUAUACAACGUGAAGAGGUUGUUGCCUUGCCCAACACAUGAAAACUGAGCUUGUUUAAUUCUUGUAGUUUCUCAUCAUGGGUACAAGUGAAGCCUUAGCAUUAAAGGUCUUGGUCAAAGUCUUCUCGGAACGACAAGAAGCAACUCAUUGUAUGCGAUCAUGUGGGUUGUCGCACAAUUCUACGCCUAGUGAGUCUGAUGGUAGAAAGAAGUUGAAUGUGAAGUAUUUCAAAGAAAAAUCCUCUGUGCCGAGGCCUCACAAGUGUGGGGCUCCAGACUUGAUGAAAUAUCAAGUAGUGUAAGUGCAAAGAAUUGAUCGUAAUUUGGGUUUAGAGUGUUCCACCACUUUAAAACAACAGAGGACUCAUCCAACUGGUUGAGUUUUCAACCAAUCUGUGUCCAGACAAGCAUGCUUGACAGAACACUUGUGACUAUCCCAACCAGUUGGAUGAGUCCUCUGUUGUUUUAAAGUGGUGGAACACUCUAAACCCAAAUUACGAUCAAUUCUUUGCCUUUUCACUACUUGAUAUUUCAUCAAGUCUGGAGCCCCAAGCUUGUGACGUCUCGGCAUAGAGGAUUUUUCUUUGAAAUACUUCAUAUUCAACUUCUUUCUACCAUCAGACUCACUAGGCAUAGAAUUGUGCGACAACCCAUGUGAUCAAUUGGUUACUAAGAAAUGUUUGUAUGUUUUGACAAUUUGAAUACCAUGUGUUUGUAUUGCAGGAUUUGAGUGAGGAAACAUUUUUCUUUCUUUGUCCUGCAUGAAUAUCUAAAUGAUUAUAUAUGUGUUAGUAUGUGUCUUUUUCCCUGAUCAAUUAUAAAAUGAGUAAGAAAAUUG
Molecule: non-coding RNA, 1598 nt
Organism: Corylus avellana
Lineage: Eukaryota; Viridiplantae; Streptophyta; Magnoliopsida; Fagales; Betulaceae
Source: RefSeq, a predicted model, not a curated record